CAAAUUAAAGCUUAAAUUAAGCAUUUUAUUUACACUAAAGAGAUUAUUGUGGAAUUCAAUAUAGUUUG
Molecule: transfer RNA, 68 nt
Filed under: Apoderinae sp. 2 AV-2018
Lineage: Eukaryota; Metazoa; Arthropoda; Insecta; Coleoptera; Attelabidae
Description: tRNA-Val
Source: RNAcentral